Molecule: ribosomal RNA, 253 nt
Filed under: uncultured bacterium
Lineage: Bacteria
Description: partial 16S ribosomal RNA
Rfam family: Bacterial small subunit ribosomal RNA
Source: RNAcentral
UACAGAGGGGGCUAGCGUUGUUCGGAAUUACUGGGCGUAAAGGGCGCGUAGGUGGCCUGUUAAGUCGAACGUGAAAUCCCCGGGCUCAACCCGGGAACUGCGUCCGAGACUGGCAGGCUCGAAUCCGGGAGAGGGAUGUGGAAUUCCAGGUGUAGCGGUGAAAUGCGUAGAUAUCUGGAGGAACACCGGUGGCGAAGGCGGCAUCCUGGACCGGCAUUGACGCUGAGGCGCGAAAGCCAGGGGAGCAAACGGG